This 63-nucleotide transfer RNA is filed under the name Dicrocoelium chinensis. Its description in RNAcentral is "tRNA-Val". The record is from RNAcentral. Lineage: Eukaryota; Metazoa; Platyhelminthes; Trematoda; Plagiorchiida; Dicrocoeliidae.
AUCUAGUAGUCUAAUGGUGAUGUCUGUUUUACACGCAGGGGGUGGAUUGUGUCCCGAUUGUUG